GUGAGGAAUAUUGCGCAAUGGGGGCAACCCUGACGCAGCAACGCCGCGUGAGUGAGGAAGGUUUUCGGACCGUAAAGCUCUGUCGAGCGGGAAGAAAUGCAUGGUGGCUAAUAUCCAUCAUGCUUGACGGUACCGCUAAAGGAAGCACCGGCUAACUCCGUGCCAGCAGCCGCGGUAAUACGGGGGGUGCUAGCGUUGUUCGGAAUCAUUGGGCGUAAAGAGCGUGUAGGCGGCUGGAUAAGUCAGAUGUGAAAGCCCUGGGCUUAACCCAGGAAGUGCAUUUGAAACUGUUCAGCUAGAGUAAGGGAGAGGAAAGUGGAAUUCCUGGUGUAGAGGUGAAAUUCGUAGAUAUCAGGAGGAACACCGGUGGCGAAGGCGACUUUCUGGCCCUAUACUGACGCUGAGACGCGAGAGCGUGGGUAGCAAACAGGAUUAGAAACCCCAGUAGUCC
This 451-nucleotide ribosomal RNA is filed under the name uncultured bacterium. RNAcentral's name for it is "bacterial SSU rRNA". It matches the Rfam family "Bacterial small subunit ribosomal RNA", at positions 354 to 796 of the family's 1533-position model. The record is from RNAcentral.